Molecule: ribosomal RNA, 254 nt
Filed under: uncultured bacterium
Lineage: Bacteria
Description: partial small subunit ribosomal RNA
Rfam family: Bacterial small subunit ribosomal RNA
Source: RNAcentral
AGGACGAACGCUGGCGGCGUGCUUAACACAUGCAAGUCGAGCGGAAAGGCCCUUCGGGGUACUCGAGCGGCGAACGGGUGAGUAACACGUGAGUAAUCUGCCCCUAGCUCUGGGAUAGCUCCGGGAAACCGGGAUUAAUACCGGAUACGACCACCUUAGACAUCUUUUGUGGUGGAAAGAAUUUCGGCUAGGGAUGAGCUCGCGGCCUAUCAGCUUGUUGGUGGGGUAACUGCCUACCAAGGCGACGACGGGUA